UUUUAAUAAAACCCGUAAAAACAUAGCAGUACUAACUUAACCAAAUAGACAAUUGAGUAAUUUGACACUUACAUUCAUUGACAAUCUCACAUAUUCCUCAAGCAAAUCCGUUUCAAAACAUUAGAAGUUGAUUCAACUUGGUAAAUUAGUGUUUUGAAUAAUUACUUUUUCAUAUGUGUGCAAAUCUGUUGGGUUACUAAUAAUAAAUAGAAUGU
Molecule: non-coding RNA, 215 nt
Organism: Schizosaccharomyces pombe (fission yeast)
Lineage: Eukaryota; Fungi; Ascomycota; Schizosaccharomycetes; Schizosaccharomycetales; Schizosaccharomycetaceae
Source: the annotation of a GenBank genome assembly